This 795-nucleotide non-coding RNA is filed under the name Asicimbex sp. CSCS-Hym-MC0132. Lineage: Eukaryota; Metazoa; Arthropoda; Insecta; Hymenoptera; Cimbicidae. The record is from RNAcentral.
AAAAAGUUUGAUUUUGGCUUUAUUAUUUAAUUUAUAAUUAUUUUGCAUGUAAAUUUUUGUAUGAUUUUUAUUAUUUUUAAAAAAUUUAAUAAAUAGGUUUUAUUUGCAGCAAUUAAUUUUAAUAAUUAAAUAAUUUUAGAAUUAUUAAUUAUUAUAGUAUAAGCAAAUUUUGUGCCAGCGGCUGCGGUUAUACAAAUUAUACAAUUAAAUAUUUAUUAAUUUAUAAUUUUUAUUUAAUAUAAGAGAUUUUUAAAAUAAUUAAAAAUUAAGUGAAAUUUUUUUUAAUAAUAAAGAUUUAUAAAAUUAUAUUUAAAUUAUUAGCACUAAAUUUUAAACUAGGAUUAGAUACCCUAUUAUUUUAGAAUUAAAAUUAUGAAAUUUUAAGGAUUAAUAGUUAUAUACUUUAAACUUAAAGAAAUUGGCGGUAUUUAAAUCUAAUUAGGGGAAUUUGUUUUUUAAUUGUCAUUACACAAAAAUCUUACUUUAAUUAAUUAGUUUGUUUAUUGUCGUUAUCAAGAUAUUUUAUUAGAAUAAUGAAUUUUUUAAAAUUUUUAUAUAAAAUAUAUUUCAGAUCAUGAUGCAGUUUAUAUUAAAGUUAAAAUUAAUUACAAUAAAAUUUAUUUAUAACGAAUAUGUAAUUGAAAUAUUAUAUUUGAAGGUGGACUUAAUAGUAAAUUUAAUGAUUUUAUUAAAUUGAAUUUAGAGCUAAAUAUGUACAAAUUGCCCGUCACUCUCGUUUUUAAAUGAGAUAAGUCGUAACAAAGUAAGUGUAUUGGAAAAUGUGCUUAGUUAUUU